GACGAACGCUGGCGGCGUGCUUAACACAUGCAAGUCGAACGGUGAAGGGACCGGUUUUUGCUGGUUCUGGAUGAGUGGCGAACGGGUGAGUAACACGUGAGUAACCUGCCCCCUUCUUCUGGAUAACCGCAUGAAAGUGUGGCUAAUACGGGAUAUUCUGCGCCUGCUGCAUGGUGGGUGUGGGAAAGAUAUUGUUUCGGUGGGGGAUGGGCUCGCGGCCUAUCAGCUUGUUGGUGGGGUGAUGGCCUACCAAGGCGGUGACGGGUAGCCGGCCUGAGAGGGUGGACGGUCACACUGGGACUGAGACACGGCCCAGACUCCUACGGGAGGCAGCAGUGGGGAAUAUUGCACAAUGGGCGCAAGCCUGAUGCAGCGACGCCGCGUGAGGGAUGGAAGCCUUCGGGUUGUAAACCUCUUUCGCCAGUGAAGCAGGCCUGUCCCUUGUGUGGGUGGGUUGACGGUAGCUGGAUAAGAAGCGCCGGCUAACUACGUG
RNAcentral lists this ribosomal RNA (493 nucleotides) under uncultured bacterium. RNAcentral describes it as "partial 16S ribosomal RNA". It matches the Rfam family "Bacterial small subunit ribosomal RNA", at positions 28 to 507 of the family's 1533-position model. The record is from RNAcentral.